This 1348-nucleotide long non-coding RNA is filed under the name Equus asinus (donkey). RNAcentral's name for it is "lncRNA (ENSEASG00005036569.1)". Lineage: Eukaryota; Metazoa; Chordata; Mammalia; Perissodactyla; Equidae. The record is from RNAcentral.
AAGUGAGUUUUGCCUAUCCCCUUCCAUCAGAAUCACCUGGUGAGCUUGUUAGAGAACAGAUUCUCAGGAACCACACCAGGAUUUCGGAUUUAGAAUUGAUGGUGGUUGAGCCUAGACUCUGUAUUUUUAACAAGCUCCCUAUGUGAUUCUUUUUCAUGCUAAAAUUUGAGAGCAUCUGGCCUCCAGAUCAAGUGCAAACACUUCAGAAUUGCUGAUGAGAAGACUGUGCUCAGAGAUGGUAAGAAACUCAGAAGAGGCACCUGGUGAAUAGGAGAUGUCUGGAACUUGAAUGCAGAGGGGAAAGGCAUUUGAAGUUGGAGAUUAUCAUGUCUGGGAAGGAAGAAAUAGGAGCCAACGGGACUAGAUCACAUGGGAAGAAGAGACGGUCCCAUUUCAUGCCAAAAAGAGAUAAGAAAAAGAACUAUGUCUCAAUGCCUUUCCAGUGGAGCUAACAAAAAACAAAACAAAAUAAAACAGUCUCCAACAUACUAAACAGCUGUCGCCAAGAUCAGAAAGCAUCAGAAAAGACCCUAAAAGAGUUGUCUAAUCCCCAAGGAAGAGCUUGUUUAAGUGCAGAAGUGCUUGCAGCAGAAACUUUCGAAAUUUCAGGGAGUGGAAUUUUAUUGUCAGAACUUUCAAUAAAAGUGCAGCUGCAGAUCCUGGGAGCAUUAAAUAAAAAUUGCCAACAAGCUGUCUUACCUGUGUGCACUCCACGGAAAGAAAGGGCAAUUGUGAGCAAGUCGCGCUUGUACGUCAGUCAAAACUCUGACAGCUACCCUGUGAAGUUUGACAAGCUGCCAUGUGCUCGACUACCUAAGAUACUCUUAACUGAACCAUAAAAAGACAAAUAAAUUAGUAAUUGUAUCCCUCCUGUCAAUGUCCUUUUUCGUGAACUUCUCAAGCUGUUGGUUAACAUUGUCUGGAAUGACUUACCAAUGUAUUCUUAGCUUUCUUAGAAAAGGCAGAUACACUUGAUUUUUUCCAAAUUGUUUUUUGAAUUGAUUUAAGAAAAUGAUACAGAUAUUACCCAUUUCUGGACCUCUCGUUUUACUCCCUGGUCUGCCUCCUCCCAUUAGGAAAUCAGACCAAUAAGAUUAACAUAAUCUUUCUUGGAAUUGACUGUUCUUUUUAAAUAGAUCCCAUGAUAGACAUGUGUAAAAAUCAAUAACAGGCUCCUCAUUUGUCAAAGCUAAUGACUAAACUCAUUUUGAAGUUCAAUAGUGGUUACUGAAGAGUGGCCACACAUUAUAUAUCUAAUCCUGUAGGUCUCUCCACUUAUUCCGCAGAAGAACAGAGAAAAAGGAGCCUUUGUUCCUUGAGGCACAAUAAAAAAGCUUGUGUCUCCAUU